ACGCACGCUGGCGGCGUGCUUAACACAUGCAAGUCGAACGGAUAGGCCCUGCUUUUGUGGGGUGCUCGAGUGGCGAACGGGUGAGUAACACGUGAGUAACCUGCCCUUGACUUUGGGAUAACUUCAGGAAACUGGGGCUAAUACCGGAUAGGAGCUCCUGCUGCAUGGUGGGGGUUGGAAAGUUUCGGCGGUUGGGGAUGGACUCGCGGCUUAUCAGCUUGUUGGUGGGGUAGUGGCUUACCAAGGCUUUGACGGGUAGCCGGCCUGAGAGGGUGACCGGCCACAUUGGGACUGAGAUACGGCCCAGACUCCUACGGGAGGCAGCAGUGGGGAAUAUUGCACAAUGGGCGGAAGCCUGAUGCAGCAACGCCGCGUGCGGGAUGACGGCCUUCGGGUUGUAAACCGCUUUCGCCUGUGACGAAGCGUGAGUGACGGUAAUGGGUAAAGAAGCACCGGCUAACUACGUG
RNAcentral lists this ribosomal RNA (467 nucleotides) under uncultured bacterium. Its description in RNAcentral is "partial 16S ribosomal RNA". It matches the Rfam family "Bacterial small subunit ribosomal RNA", at positions 29 to 507 of the family's 1533-position model. The record is from RNAcentral.